CUCCAGAACCGGAGGGCACGUGAGGACGGCAGCAGGUAAGUGUGUGUGUGUGUGUCUGUGUGUCUGUGUGACGCGUAAUCGCCGGCUAUGCACUCUCGAACGCCCACAGUGGAGUGUCCAGAUUAAAAAGGGAAACAGUUUGUAGAAGUGCAGGACCGCGGGACACAGGUGUGGGCCUUUGGGGAAACAGUUUAGAGACAGUUGAAUUGAGCUUGGCUGCGCGAGGAACGAGAGCGCUCCGUGCGCGCUCCCGGCACUCUCAGGCCGAGAGAGAGAGAGAGAGGUACCCGCGCGCCAGUCAGGGGUGACGGAGGGUGGUUUAAAGUCGCUCCCUCACAAUAUAGAAAGCUCAUGUUAACUCCAAGGUGAUUCUGAGUCAAAAUAAAUAAAAUAUAUAUUAUUUUCAAGAGACACACACACCACUUUAAAGAUACCAUUGAACAUUGUUUUCCACUUCCACAUCUGUCCUGCUUACAUGCUACAGCUUUAAAUAAGCGAACGGUUUUAUUGGUUAUACAUUAGUAAGUUCUAUACAGAAGAUUUAUAAGCUUGUUUUGCAAAUCCCCAGGGUUGUGUUAAAAAGGGCCUUCAGGCUUUUCAUCCUUCUUCUGCUAAACACUCUGUCUCAUUGGCUCAUUACCUCCUAACAGUAGACUCCCUAAAUGUACUUUGACCCCUGACCUCCUUGAAAUAGACAUUUACUGAUUUAUCAACAUGAACGAAAUCAGACUUCAUAGUAGAACAUCCUUAUUAUGGUCCACAUGGAGCCUUGCAAGCUAGUUUUUUUUGUUUUUUUUUCUCAGGAAUUGUUGACUCUGCUUAAAAUGUCCUGCCUUCCACUCAGUGGGACUGAUUUCCCAAGGGCUACUGCCCCAUUUAAUGCAUAUUUAAUGCGUUUUUAUGUUCACACCAAUAUGACCAGUCUAUUAUAUUAUACGGCAUAGGCACAGCAUGUUGCUAGCUUUGGCAGUAAACAAUAUUUAGUAGCUGUGGACUUCUAGGAGCAUUGCACAUGAGAGCAAUAUUUACUAAUCAAGAUGACUUGGCUUACUCUAAAGCCAUCCAGUCACAUUAUUCUGUAACAAUGUGAUGGCUACAUGUUCUGCUGUUUAUCAAAGAGAACGUUUUCUGUCUUGCAGCAUCCAUAACUUGCAAGCCAUGCAGCCAGUGAUGUGUUUAAUGCGAUAAGGUUUAAAUGUUUGUUAAAUAACAUGAAAGAAACAAAAAAAAUCAGGUAGGAAUAAGAAAAAAUAAAUUGCUGGCCUCGCUUGUUAUGUUUUACUUUUAGGGUGAAGUGGAACAUUUAAAAGCACAAGGGAUCUUCCCAAAUGAAAAUUAUUUUUAAUACUAGGUGCUCCUGUCAGUAGCCUACCCAGGAAAUGACAGAUUGUCUCCUAGCAACUCUGGUCCUAAGAUUACUAUCAUUUUCUACCAUGAAGUCUACCAUAAAGGGGACUGAACAGAGGUCUGCAACCUAUUUUACUACAUUGUACACCUCAUUAUUGCAGACCAUAAGAGAACAGACCAUUUUCAUGAUGCAUUGCAGCACAGUGAGGGUGCUGCAGUACAACAUUCUCACUUUUGAAAUACAAUGUGAAAGGGGCUUUGGAGUAGGGAUACCAUGAAUAACCAGUGCAAUAGAGCUUUAUAAGCAGAAGUAUAGCACAGCGAAGACAGCCCUCAAUUUUGUAACGUCAGGUUUAAUGUUUGUACAUAGAGGGCAGAGUUUUUCAGAGUCGGCCAGUAAAGCUGAUUCUAAUUCUGAUACAGUAUGACUCAGUGCCAAAACACGCCAGCAUUCCGAAUGUUGUGUAGCUGCUUUGCCCUUUAAAGAGGACAUGACCAUGCUAUUUCAGUCACACCUAAACCCCCAGAUGGUCUAGAGUUUGAUGGCACACUAGUCAGAGUUAAGAAAGGUGUUUUUCUUGUCAUCACAGUAGAUGUUUCUAACCCAACGAAUCAUGACGUUGUUGUGCCAGGCAAAAUUGAAAUUGGGACAAUACAAACUAUAUCCAGUGUGUUGCCUGCUCAGAUUUUUGACAAAACAGAGGGGUCUAUUUUGGUGCCUCGCCGGAGACGUGCCGCAAGCGCAGCGUCAGUCAGAUCCGCCGCGCUGACAAGGCGUUCCCAAGCACAUUUUGGUAUUUUGGUGAGCCGCGCAGCCCGGCGUAAGUAUCCCCCCUCCCUAACUCAGCUCCUCCCAGCACCAUAAGUCGUAGACGGGGAGGAGAAAGGGCGUGUAGUUGGUUUAACACAGCCGAGACCUGUUUUCACCAAUCACAUAGGCUCCUCUCCUUGCCUUUAAAUCCGCCACAGGCGAGGCGUAUUACUAUUUUCAUGGAGAAGUCAAAGAGAUCAAGAGAUGUCUGAAGACAGUUAUGCCACAAGAUGGCGACAGAGGGCAGCUCCUCAACAAGUGUCCUCCACACUCUCUCAUCUGAGCACAGAUGGAUUGGGUGUGUGUAAUGUUGGACCCACUGGUAAGACAAACAUCCUUUUCCACAAAUAAAGACACUCACAUAAAGUUGCUCAUAUUCAAACCUCACGUGACAAAGGUGGGUUUAGCGCACAGAUCACAACAUAAACUCCAAAAAUGGCAUUAAAAUCAGAACCAUCUGUGCGUAAAUGACGCAUCGCGCUCCGUGGCCUGGCUCUUUCUUUCAUAGAUGUUGGCAUAUAAAAUAAAUUUGGCUCACAAAACUGAAUAUUAUAAUAUCCGUAUGUCGGCUUAAAGUAGAUAACGCAUCUGAGCACUGAAACAAAUCAUCUGUUCAGCUGCAGCAGCAGCAAGACGGACAGAGGACACGGAGACGUGCCCAGGUCGAGCUGUGCGAGAAAUAAGAGGAAGAGGAAGAAAGAAAAGGAGGGAGACGAAUUACAUAUCUUGUUAACUUCAUCAUGUGUGUAUAUUUACUAGAUAUUUAAUUUAAUUUGAUGCGGUUUCAGCUGUGUUGAUUCGGUCAGGUUGUGUGUCCAAACGCGUGCCAAACGCGCUCAUCAGAUCAGAUAUAGAUCAGAAUAUAUCGAUAUAGAUCUAAAUGUAUGUGCUGACUCAGAUUAAUAGUUGAUGAUGAUUAUUUAUUGCACUGAAAUGUGCCUGACACUGUGGAAACCUGCCGGUGAGGCAUCAGUGACGUAUGCCGAUACGCCGCCGGUCUACCAAAAUACUACUGGACCAGCUGCGUUCCGCCUUGUGCUGAAAGCUGACCAGGUUUGAAUCGGCGAGCUUUCAGCGCACGUUACACGCCGUUGGCGAGCACGAAAAUGUCACUGCGCCAGCUGAUUCUGUCGACACCUCCCCCUGCCACGCCACCACGCCCAGCUUGGCGGAUCUCGGCUCGCCUCCAUGCGGCUCAUGCCACGAAAAUACCAAACUGGCCUUACGCUGGGCUCCGCCAGACGAAAAUACAACUGCGCGGGGCUCGCCGCCCUCUGCCGCCUCACCGGCGCGCACGAAAAUAGAGCCCAGAUUCUGAAAACCUCCUGGGAAAAAAAAGAAAAACUCAAUAAUUCAGAGUGACCUCGUUAUGGUUCAUAUAAAAUUUUCAUAAAGAUUUUUUAUCUGCUUUAUUGGCUAUUCAUACGAAAUUAAAAAUGUGCACUUAUUAUUUUUCCCUAAGUACUCCACUUAAAAGAAAGACCAGCUUUUCAUAUGAAUUGUGCCCAUGAAUAAACUGAAUCAAAGAUUGAGUAGAUGAUGUGGAUGAUGAUGUACCUUACCACUGUUUAAUUUUUAAAUAUUCUGUGGUAGUAGUUAACAGUUGUGCACAUAUUGGUACUAAAAUUGCACUCUACCACAUCCCUCAUGUUGUGUUCACAGUAAGCACAAUUAAAACCAUCUACUUAUUUAUUUGAUGCAUGUAUUUUGAUGCAUACAUUGUUGUGUAUUUACUUGCCUAAUUUGUGUGUUUGUUUUGCAUCUGCAGAGAGCCUAAACACGCAAUAGAGGAGACGGAUAGCGGAGGAGCUUCUACAUGUAAGGUCAGUCUGUUAACAUCAAACAUAAAGGUUGAUAAUCAGACCUCCUCACUCGCUUUCCUCUAGCUGAGCUCUUUUUUUAACUCUUGUCUCAGUGUCACAGAUAAGCUCUAUUCUGCAGCUCAGGUGGUCGCAUGCUGUCCCAGUCAGUUAAUCCUCCAUUUUCUCUGUCUGCAAACAACACUUCACAACAGGAGAUCUGCAAUUAUAGGCUGUACUGGCCGACUGUAGUCACACCAGUGUAAAUUAUCACAACUUUUGUCAACUCUUCCCGGUUUCUGUCUGUGAACAAGUCCUCCAAUGCCUGUUCUGUUUGUAUUUUAGGUAUGUAGUGCAGAGUUAUACCUGUACUUUCAGUAUAGCUAGUCUUCCUUUCUGAACAUGAUCACAUGAGUAUCAAGUUCAGAUACUAAAAUGUGAAAAAUCACAUCUUUGGAAGUAAAAGAAUCAAGUAAGUAGGCAGAAAAAAAUAGAUUCCCACACUAAAAUCCUGUGCAUUGUCUGUGUAAUUGGGCGUGUACUUACUGCAGCAAGGCUGGGAGAUUCAUCAAUGGAGGCUGGCAGAGGCAAUAACCUCACUCAAUAAUAAUACACAUCAAUUCAAUAUGGGUCCAAAAGUUGACAAGCAACAAAUCAGAGAAAUUGUGUUUCCAGUGUGUUUUCCCUCCUAUAAGCCCAAAUCUUAUUGAACAUGGUAGUAAUGAUGAUCAAUCCUAUCUUGCAAUGUAUUCACUUUUUUACAGACAUGACAGAGGGAACAGGAGGGAGGAAAAAAAAAAAACUAAUUUAGCAGCACAGUGGCAGUGAAGUGGAACAAGCUGCUUACUGGAUGAAAACCCCCCAAACUCCAGCAGGUAUCAGACUACAGCUGGGGUUUGAGGAGCUGUGUGAAAAAUGUCUUUUGAUCAAAAUGCAGCAUAAGCCUUGAGGGGAGAGUGGAAGAUGGUUGUUUUUAUGAAGUGUCCCAAUGUCCCAUUUGUGCAUCUGUUAUUGACGGGGUUGCUGAAGCUUUUGUUUUGUCUUCCAAAAAAUGUUAUCAAGAGGAAAAAGUCAGUGCACGUGUUAGCCUGGAGGGUUAAUCGACUUGGCUGAGCUACUGUCACAGACUGAGCUCACGUCUAUAGGGUCAUUCUGUGGACAAUUACACACAAAGCCGACAUCGCUAUCGACAAAUACUCCAGUCUACAGAGACCGUGAGUCAGACAAAGGUUCAUUACGGUUUUCUGGCAUUUAUUGGUGGCAUUUGCUUUCGGAUACAUGACCCACUGGGACACGUUUGCCCUUUAUCUGGGUGGAUAGAAACACACUUGGCUUUUAAACGUUUUGUGGAGUCUGGGAACUUCAAGAUUCUUAUUUAUCAGCAGUUUGUAUCAGAACGUUAUUCAACAGGAAAUCAAAUCCAGGAUGCAAAGCGGCACUCAAUAACAAUAUAUCAACAUUUGAUGGUAUAAUAAAAAUAUGUAGCUGCCUUAGCACAUUAACUGGAUAUUGAUUGUGAAUCCACAUGACCAUAUGAGAUCACAGCACCAAACAGACACCCUUAAGGAACCACUCAUUCUCCCUCAGAAGUUUGUUAGCACUAAAACAGAAACGACAGUUAGACAGCUAUUGGACCAACUUUAAUCAGGUUGUCUGAACAGUUCUCUAAUAAAUGCUUAUCAAACAGCUUAGAUCAUAAUGUCUGUUAUUAAAUGUAUCUUAGAGUUGUAAUCCACAGGUGUCUAAAAGUAGGCUCAAAACUUUGCUUCUUAUAGUAAGAGCUGGUUUCGUCCUGGGCCAGCUCUUGGUUAGGCUGCUUUAGGUUAAGACUACAGGAGGUACUGGUCCCUACUGCAUUUCCCCCUAUCCCCUCUCUACACCCAGUGCAGUCGGGGCAGAUGACUGUCCCUCAUGAGUCUGGUUCAGCUCCAAGGUUUCUUUCUGUUAAAAGGAAGUUUUUCCUCUCCAUUGUAACUUGCUGCAAAGUGUCACACUAGUAGUUCUGUUUUAUUAUAAAUAAUGCAAAUAAUGUUUAGAGCAAAAUCAAAAAUGCUGCCUGACUCAAUACAGAGGUUCUUUUCAAUUCAGGACAGUCCGUGUAAUCUCAGAGGUGCUUGCAAAUUUACUGAACAAAAAGCUAAAAAAGGUAUGAAAAGGUGAUCAGUCUCCAAUACUGGAACUAAAUUCUGGAAUGAUGCCAACAUAAAUCUAAAAACAUGUCUUUUUUGGUUUUUAAGAAAAUGGUUUGUAAAGCUAUUUUUGAAGCUUAUAAGUGAGAUUAAUAAUCUGUUGUUGUGGUUUCUUUGCUUUUCUGGAGGUCGGUAGCCUAAAAAAGUUGACAACACAGGAUAGGCUUUUAUAGGCAGUCUGCGUCUGCCUUUUCAGUCAAUAUUCAACACAUGAUUCUUGAUUUUGUGAUUUUGUGUGAAAUGUCAAUAUUGUGUACAAUAAUUGGUGUUGUCAUGACUGAAUAAACGACUACUACUUCUACUACUACUACACUAGUAUUUAAAGAUGGGAUGAGAGUGGGUCUGAUCUUGCAAGAUGUGGCUCAGUAUAAUCCCAUAUUUUUUGUUAAGCAUCUUUGGGAAACACUUGUUGUGGAUUGGCGCUAUAUAAAUAAAGAUUGCUUGGUUGGUUUAUUACCAAUCAAUUUGUCUUCACCCCACCAAAUUUCAGCUAACGUUAUCUCAUGACAUUUAUAGAUCAGGUCUAGACCACUUUUUUUGCCUUAUUAACAUCAACUGAAAUAUUCUAUCAUGAGCAAGCACUUGGAAACAGUGGCAGGGAAACUUAUUUUUAACCAGCAGACACCUCGAGACACUGGGAGGCAAUCAACUCAGACUAGAUGAGGCAAGAUAAGCUUCGGAGACUUUAGAGAGAGUCAGACUGGCAAGGUGACAGACAGAUAAACCCCACACAAUGGUUAAAACUAUGACAUUAGGGGAGGUAUUAGAAUAUUUUCAACAAUAGAAAUGUGACUAAGCUAAUAACCACCUUCUCAGGCUGCUCUCAUAUCUGUGUUUAUGAUCAUUAUUACAUGAUUCUUAAGACAGAGUCAACAGGCAGUGGAAUAUACCAGAGUUCUUCACAAUGUCUGAUUUGACUUGUGAGAUCAGUUUGCUGAAUUUGCUGCUGAGAAGGGUUUUUACAAAAUAGCAAGUGUCAAGGGAAGGAAUCGAGCAUUUCACACAGCCAGGUAAUAAUUAUGCAACAAUGAGACAUUAAUGUAUGAAGGGAGUAGAGCAGAGUGCACACCCUAAAAGUAUGGAAAAUGGAAAUGUCCUUUUCUGCUUACACCAAACUUUGAUGGUUAUUAUCCUUUCCUACAAUUCUCAGGUGUCGUGGCAAACUCUGCACGCCUGGGGCAAAUCAAGAAAUUGCUACCAUUUAUUUUGCAUAUUCAGCAGAAAUUCACCUCUGGGUCUGCUAAAUGAAUCCCAUUAUACUUGAAAACAACACAGCGCUGGGUGUAGGUAAAAUCCCAAAGGUCCAAUUUUUCAAACUGAAAUGAGCCAUCUGAACCAGUCAGGUCAUUUUUCAGGUUAGUAAUGCCCAUAGCUAAAAUUGGAUCGUGCACCUGCACACUUUUUGGCCGUGUUCUGUAGGACAUUUUUCACUCAAUGCACUAGGAGUCCGCUCAUAACCCACAGGCUAAAGCAAGUUAAUUAAGUCUGAGCGUCUUUCAACUGGAAAACCUGGGAAACUGCUGCUUCUUAACUUAAGUAGAAAGUCAUAUUACUCUUGAUGUUGCUACUCUCUUUUGAGCUGACAAAGGCGGCACAUACUCUGAUAGUAUUUUUCAACCAAUCAGUUUCUUUGUUUGCUCGAUACUAAUGAAAUAUCAAGGAUUGAAUCUUCAUUGCAAAGGAGAUAAGAUGCAACAAAUAGAAAAAAGGGAUUUUAUUGGCACUGCUUUGAAACACAGGUUAGAUGUCUAGUAUUUCCAAUCUAUGAGUAUUUGCCAUUGUGAGCAAAAUUGUGGAAAUAAAGGCAAACUUUGGAAAAGUUGGAUGAAACUCUGUUGUCAUGACAUCUGUGCACAUGUCAGUUCAAAUCAGACCGUGCACAUUAUUUCAGUAAAAGGUACUGUUAAAAAAAACAGAAACUUACUUAUCUGAUGCUGCUCCUGCUGUCCCAAGAGGGGACAACAUAGUGGGCGUUGGUUGGCACAGAUGAUUGUCUAAGAGCCAGUCCCAAUUGUAACUCUUUCCCAUACCCCUUGGUCUCACCCCUUUGUCUACGAGGGCCAAGGGGAAGGUGAAAACACACCCCUAAGAAAUGAGACGCCACCCAAUAUCCACUACGUUAUCAUGCCUUGCCUCUUGUUGGCUGUGUCAUGGGCUGAUGCGAUAGUACCGGUAAACAAGUUGGAAAGCAGCGCCCACUGUUGCAAUGUUUAUCUGUUGUUAGCUGUCGUUAGCCAUUGUUAGCAUUACCCAUUGAACACAACGCAUAACCCAGUAUUUUACCCAUACAAGAGCUCCUGAUGUAGCUUUUACAUUGGAAGCUACAUCAGCUAAUGUAGCUAGUACAUUAGAAUUUACUAAUGUACUGAAUGUAGCUUAGCUGUCUGAUCAUUCGGUCUAAUCAUUCAUGAAAUGCAGUACAUCAAAGUGUGUCCUGUGAAUUUGCCACCCAAGUCCCGACACUAGUUAAGCUAUCAUUAGCUAGCUCAUUAUAAUGAGCAGUGUUAAAAUGCAAACAAUUCAAAACAUGGCUAAUAUUUACUUGAAGUAGUAACUAUUGAAAUAUCUGAUAAAAUCGUGUAAAAUCUCACCUCUUGCUUUCAAGUGAGGUCCUGUUCGUCUUUGUUUUAAGGGCUGCGUGCCUCUUGCAUUUAGCCCUUCCCCUUAACCUUACAGAGAACUGCAUACCCCUUUGCUUGUCAUGAACGCACAAAAUGAGGACUCAGGGGUAAAACAAGGGAUAACUGACGUCACAGGGGAGACAAUAAACACAUGUCAGGUUACUUUAAUUGAAAAAAUAUAUAUAUUUUCCUGCCACCUCUAAGAGGGGUUUGAAUCAUUAUUUUUGAGUGUAUAGUGUCUGGGGUCAAAAGGCUACAAAGGGGGACAAUUUUUUCCGGUCAUCCAUCAAUCUCAAUUCAGUCUGUCUUCAUGAGAAAAGCCCCGUGACAACCUGUCAUUGUGUCCUUACGGCUGCUGAAGCACCAUUCAGUCAUCCACAGAUAUGUGCAGUUCAGUCACAGGGCAGAGACCCUGCUUCUUUCCACGACCAACCCAGUCAAUCAUCGCUGAGCUGCUCUGAGGAUUUCACCAUGACCGGCUCAGAGCAGAUAUGCAGUCAACAAGCAAUACAAUAGGAAAAGGGCCCUGCUGCAGAAAAUCCUCUGAUACGUGAUAUGUGAGGAGCCGUAAAAUAGUGAUCUGAAUUAAAAGUGAGACGAGAGUCAGCCCAGCAGCAGAGGAGAACGCCUUGUUUUUGCACUGACAAUAAUCAUCAACUUGAGUCUUCAACGUAGUUUCCUGAAUCUCUGAGAAAACAUUUAUGAUGCAGUGUGGACAAUUAAUCACUGCAGCGUUUCUCAAACCUUUUUCAGUCACAGCACGUUUUAAAAGUGCAUAAAAUUUCACAGCAGUUAAAACAUAUAAUUAAAAAUGACACUGCAGAGCCAAAAUGUAAAUGCAAAUGUCCUGUUUAUUUAGACGGGAAAGUGUUGGUGAACAGAGCGUAAUAAGAACUGAAAAUGCACCAGAGAUAAGCAGGAAUGUUUCUUUCCAUCCAUGCCUCUGUAGUCUGCACUACACACACACUUUUGCAAGAGGCUAAUUGAUUUUGAACAUUUGACUUUUAUCAAAAUAUUCAGAAAAAUAGGGCAGAUUUUCCCGAUGUGCAGUUAAGAACCUAGUUUAGACUUUUCCAAAAUGUUCAAGUUGGUAUUUCUCUAAGUUCUGAUUGAGCUAGAUCCAAACCGUGACCAAUGAUGUCUGCACAGAGAGGUGUUUAACGCAUAUGGGUCCAGGCAAAGAUAAAUCUCAUCUUAACAACAGCCAGUAAUCAAGUGGACCAACAUACCAGAAGUAGACAGUUGAAUAUGUUUUAGCAAUAAGAAAAAACUGCAUACAGUUUUGUAAACAGCAACUAUGGCUUAGCGGUAAAAAACUUAGUUUUAGAGCUUAUUUUCACCCACUGCCUCUAACAUUUUAUUUUAGGGCAGCAACAUCUCCUUACAUAGAGGACUUUCAUCCUUGGAUGUGGAAGAUGUGUUUUUGUAGAUGUCUGGAGUGGAGUGCAGACAACAGAUUUUGCUCUACUUUCCUGCUCUGCCAUGAUUGAGGUCUCUCUCUGAGGGCUGCUUUUGGCAACAAAUCAAAGGAAAACAUGGCCCACUUAAACUGCAGAGAAUCCACAUGUGUGUACAAGUGGCAAGAGCUUCAACUAUUGGUUUGACAGCUCAACAUGAAGCUGGGGAUUGUUGUAUCAGGAUGAGAACAGCCCUCUUAUGGUCAGUUUAAAAGCUGUGCGUCAUCUCCUCACUGCAUCAUAUAUAUAGAUAAACAAGGUUACAAGCUCUCCUGACUUGAAUUUCUUGUCACCAGCUAAAACAAGGGUCACCUGUGGCCACCAAUCAGCAUGUCUUGCUCUGUCAGAGCAAUGUUGUGUCAUGGUUUGGAAAUUAGUUGGCUGUCAAAAAGAAAGAUAGGUAACAUUACAGCUCUGUAAUUUUAAUCAGUCAAGGUAGAAAUUGAACAUACGGAGGGUACAAGCCCAAUAAAGCAGCCAGGGAAAGAAAAGACCUGCAAGAUGAGUGUCUCAGCUGAUGAAUGAAAGUGAAUCUAUAUAAUCAUUGUGUAAUUAUAAGUUUGAAAAUUUGAAACUAUAAUGGAAGAAUCAUUGCGGAAUCAGCGGCACAAACACAGACUUUAUGGUGGCCUCAGCUAGCAUGAUCUCAUAUCCAGUUCACAAUCUAGAAAAUCAAUGACAUGCCUAUUUUGACAUGCCAUGACAUGAUUGACAUGCCUAUCUAUGAAUAGUUCAAGACAUAAAAAUGAAUAUUCAAGAUACCAGGAUGUGAGAUAUAUUGACUUCAUUGUCAUUUACCUGAUUUGCAGUGACAACAAUGCAUCAAAACUGUGAUAAUUUGGGUUGUAUUUCCAUCAGCUAUAUUCAUAUUUCAGGCAUGAAAACUACAGUAUGGCAGUACUAAAGAAUAAUUUUUGAAUCCAUUUUCCUUUCUUUAGAGAGACUCUUCUUGUUUUCGCACAGUGCUUUUAUUUUGAAAUUCUGCCCAGGACACUUAUUUGCCAUGAAUCAACCCACUUGUAUUCCUCUUUAUUUGAAUUGAGCAGGUUAGCUGUAUAAAUGAAUAAAUAACACCAGGUAACAGGAAAUACUUGCCCUUCCGUGAUCUUAAGUGCCCCUAAGUGCCCUCCCUCUGCAUCCUGCAUUAAUGUGCAGCACCUGUUUUGAAUGAAAAUAGGAUCUCUGAUAAGAUUGACCAACAAACACCAAAUGACAUGCUCCAAUAUGGAAAAAAGAAUAUCAAACUCAUAAUUUGUUGGGCCUCAUAAUGCAUUCCGUUGGCGACUGUUUCCAGGAAAGACAGUGUGCGUUGUUUAAAAAAUCAUUGGGGGUCAAGCCAAUUAACCGAUCUGUCGUCCAUCCAGGGAACCGCAGAUUGACUUCACUGAUAUAAUAUUAACAUACUGAUAACAAGAGUUCUGCUUUUAUUGAUAUAUUCUAUUCCAUUGUGUGAUAUCUUUAAAAACUGUCAGUGAGUUUGUGUUAUCAUUAUUGCCAGUCAAAAAAAAAGAUAAAAAAAUCAAGAUUAGGUUUUCAAAAAGUCUUUUGAAAAGGGGGGAUGGGGUGUCUGAUAAUCAGGGCUGCCCUGUUUUCAGGCCCAAGUAGUAAGUACAUCAGGCAGUCGACAUAAUGGUGCAUAAUAAUUAUUAUACUAAGUAUGGUUUAGAGGUUGGCUGUGUAUCAACAUGAGCCCUCAAAAUUAAAGCAGCUCAGUAAGGCUCAGGGAUUUUGCAUUCCAAAUACUUCCUCUGUGUAUGUAAAUUGAGUCUGAAGCUUUCUGGCAGGUAAAAAGCUCAGACUGAUGCAUGAAUAGGAAAUGAGGCAAAGAUGACUCGGUAUGUGAAGACGUUAUUACAUCCAAAUAAGGCUUUCCAUUCAUUAGAGUUGGAAAACUGAGUGAAACAGUAAACAGAGCAGAAAAUAAAAUAUGAUAAAUCUGGGUUUCACGGUGAGUGCCAGGCAGAGUCCCUCUCUGCUGAAUAGUUGGCUGUUCAAGUAUGCAGUCUGCUGGAGAGGGAGGCUCAAUUCCUGUUAUCACUGUUUAUAUUAAAGUCACAUGUCACAUGCUCCAGGAAAAAAAAACACCUGAGAUUCUGAUCAAGUAAAACAGCACCUUUUAAUAUUCAAAGACCUGGUAGAAAUCCUCCGUAGUCAAAGCUGACAGCUGUAGAGGCUCCUUUUGUGGUCCUUAAAUGAAACUGUCUUGUUUUAUUUAUAAGGAGAACAAAAUAUACUUCAGUACAGGGUGCAAAAUAUCAUAAAGCAUGACUGCAGAAAAUAAAAGUGCUGUUUUAAAAAACUAUGUUUAUUAAAAAGCUGAUUGAAUCUAUUGAAUAACCUCCAUUGUGUUGACAUCACCUUAAGAGUAGUCCUUUGCCCCCAGGUGAGGUUUAUCUCUUUGCUCUUUGCUGACCUUUACAUGUAUAAUAUUCACAGUUUUUUAAGAUUAUGCUUCUUUCUAAGUGUAUCCCUCACUAUGAGUCAUUUAUGUUACAGAUUUUAUAAAAGCACCCACACUCUGCACCCGUGGUGGUGAUUACAGGCUUUAAAACAACUGUAUAGAAAAAAAAAUUAUGAGUGCCAUUUUAUUUCUGAUGGCCCUGUUUGUUUUUGGAAGUCACAGAGAGGUAUCUGCAUUUUAGUUUAUUUACAACCAGUUUAAAGCUCCAAGCACAGAGCUAGCAGAGAGUUAGCAGAGCAGUAUGACAGACGAGGACUUGUAGAAAAGUGACAUCUCUUGUUCACUUUGUCCUGCAAAAUCCUGGUUUUCACAAGAAGACAAAAGACUGUGAAAAAUGAAGAAUUCCCCUCUCUCCUGAUAAAGUGCGUUGUGUUUUUUGUGACUUAUAUCAUUUGUUAAGCCCGGUGUGAGGAGUGUUUGAUUGAUUAUGAAACAGCCUAAAGUGAACAGUGAUGCAUCUCUACGAAGCACAAAAGCAAAUGAGAUCAUUGAUAACAAGCCUGGCAAUCCUUAUAUUGUAAUCUUUAAUGCCUGUAACUUCUGUGUGGGGGUAUACUGAAACGAACAUUCAUGGCAGCAGAUACAGCUCACUGGAAAAUGACAAUAGAUAGAUUUUUUUUUUUGCUGACAACAGUUUCACAAGGAAGAGAUAAAAUUAGCUAUUAGGAUCCCCACCUUGUCCACAGGGGACGCCAAAGUCAACACAUACAAAAAGUUCCUCAAAGUAGCUUUGUCCAGUUGGUAAAGAGAAAGUUUUAUUUCAGUGUAUUUUUAAGUGGGGCUGUAUGAGGUACUUGUUGAUUACAGUUCCUACAAUCCCAGAACUCUGAACUUUUGGUGCGUUCCAGUUGUACUCGGAAGUCAUAUUUCCAAGGUCAGAAAGUCGGACAAUCCUCACCAACCCUGACUUAACGACAAUGUCGUAAUCCAAGAUGGCAGCGCAGUGCAUCAACAGUAAAGAGUAACUGUGAAAGCUCUUGUAAUGUAGUAUUUAUUAGCACUUUCAUUUUGGUGAAAUUAAAUAAGUGGUUUAUGUUGUACUGCCCAACGUCUAACUGUGACCACGGUGCUAUGGUGUUUGUAAGAGUAAAAUACUGUGUUAUGCGUUGUUUCCAACUGGUAUAGCUGACAACCGCUAACAACAACUGAUAACAGCUAAUGACAGCUGACAAUUGUUAACAACAGCUAACAACGGCUAACAGUAGGCGUCCAUCAUGGUUUUCCCACUUGUUUACUUGAACGCUGUUAACUCGGAUGUCAUCAUUCCCAGCUCUGACAGCUGACUUCCCAGGUAACUGGAACACAGCAUUUGCUUCAAUACCAGUGUUACCAAGGCAAACAAAAAUUAAACUCAUGGACACCCAAAGCAGUUCUCAUGUAGACACAGUAGUCACUUGAUUGCAGGCACUACUUAUGUUUCUUCUUUUUUACCUUUUGGCAAAAGCAGCAAAAAGCAAUGAGAGACUACGUUGCUCUAGGGUAGCAUUUGUUGAGGGCUUAAGUUACUUUAAAGAAAAAGUACAGUAUCAAGACAAAGCUGCAAAUAUGGAGGCUAUACCUAGAAUGUUGUACCCUGUUAUAAAGUUAAACUUUUAAUUGAAUUGCAGCAAAUGUUUUUGCACAGGCAAUGUUUUGUUCCAGAGAAACAAAGUUCUUUCCUCACUGCACCAAACAGUUCUAUAAUUGACUUAAAUAGGACUUCAGUUUCUUCAACAUGUUGCAGUGACUUGUGUAACCUCUUUCAGCCCUGGUGUCUCCUGGAGGGCUGAAGGGUUGGUAAACAUGUCUUGGCUCUGGGACACCAUGGCUGCACUGCAGCCUCAGUCACCUGUUUAAAUGGAGAAAACACAAUCGAAGACAUGACUCACCCUUUUCUACUUUGAGACCACACAGAAAGAAACUCACAAGUUUGAUGUUCUUCUUAAGCUACACCUCAAGUUAAAUGACUAUACAUGAUGCAAACGGGUUUGCUCAUUGGCUGACACUGACUGCUUAUCCUCUCUACCUUGCGUUGAAGCGAAAAACAAACAUGGCCACAAAUGAAUGAAUUAUGGCUACAAAUCAUGUUUUCAUUCCGGCUGUUAAAUGUUGCUUUCAAAAUGUUGGAGCUCAAGUAUGAACUACACCUUUUUUAUGGGUUGUGUAGAAGUAGAAUACUAACAUGAGAGUUUUUUAAAGUUUACUGGAGCAACAGAUGAUCAGUUCCCAGAUGACAGAGGCCUAUUUUUUUCUGAGAUGUCACCAGAACUACCCUGCUGAGUGUUUUCAUGUCUUUCAGCUUACUAUUUUGAUUUAAAGGGCCACAUUUCAACUGUUUUUGGUCUAUUCUCACAGCUGUAGACAAGUUUUCAUCAGAAGAAAGAAGUUGUUUAUAACACCACCUCCAAAACACACUCUGUAAAGCACUUAACAGCAGACAAUCUCACCUAAGAGCCACCUGCCAAGACAGUACAGAGAUUUUUCCUUGCGGGUGUGAUGGAAAAUAGAAAUCACAGUUGGUAAUAAUUGGAAAUUUUUAUCAUGCAACGUUGGUCAUCUGAAUAAGCAUCUGUUUGUUUAAAUAUUGGCCUGAAAAUUUACAAGUUGAUACGCAAUGUUUGUAUCCAAACUUGCCCUCAAACAAGCAAGGAGCCAUCUCAAAGUCAUCACAGGAUAAAAGGAUUGGAUAUAUUUCAUGCUGAUUGACCAUGUUGACCAUGUUUAUUGACUAUUUUAACAAUCUAUAAAAGUUGAAUCAUCUCUUCAGGAGGAUUUUAUCUCUCUUUAAACUGUGACGGUAGUAAAUUUUCUCCCAGCAACAACAAGAAGCUGCCUUUAAAUGAGAUUUAAUCAGUAAGCAGUCAUUUAUAAAUGGACUCAGCAGUCAUGCAGGAGAUCAGCAGUGUCCACAAAGUGAAAUCCUCUCAUGUCCAAUACAUCAAUCUCUUCAAGGGGAGUGAUGAAAAAGGACCCGUUCCCAUACUGCAGACAGCUGCAACUCUUUUGAUCAGCUUUAUGGCGGGUUGUUGUCUAACUGAGUAAGAACAUAAGAUUACACAGACAGGAGUGUGAGUGGGCUAAUGAGGCAAACCAAGCAUGAAAACGUUCUGUUAUGGGACUAAUAAAGGGAAAAUCAAACAGCGAUAUCAGCAUUCACAACGUAUUUUUGACUGAUUUUGAUUCAAGUCUCACUUGAAAGAUGUGCAAAAAUGUAAAUAUCUGUCCUACAUCUACUCCCUGUGUCCAGCUCUUGUCCAUCUCUAGACUGUUUAGCCAACCAGCAAAAAAAACAACACAAAGAAAAUAGUUCAACUAGCAUUAUACUUACCCUAUUUUUCGGGAGAUAAGGCGCACUGGAUUAAACAGCGCACUGUGAAUUAAUGUGUCUGUUCACACAUAUGGUGCACUGGAUUGUAAGGAGCAUUGGCACACUGGCGCAUUGAUUGGUUUAUUGUUGCUAGUGCGUACUCCAGGCCCGGGCUGCCUCACAUGAAUGCACUUCUAGUUUAGACAUUACAGUCAGGCAGUCUUGUAGACUGCUCAGGGGUCCUGUUACGGGGCUGAUCAGGUCGUGACACAGCGUACUAUGAUGAUUCAAAUAUCCAUUCAGCGGAGUGGCCUUGUUGCUUACCAGUGCACACAUUUCGACAGAUUUUUGAGCGCAUUGUACCACAUAAAAUUGGUCAGCAAGUAAUUGUACAUAAGGCGCGCUGGAUUAUGAGACACACUGUCAACUUUUGAGAAAAUGUAAGGAUUUUAAGUGUGCCUUAUAGUCUGAAAAAUAUGGUAAACAUAUAUAUAGACAAGAUGUAAAUGUGACUGGAAAUAAAAAUGUGAAACUUAAAACCAAAAGGCUUUUAGUCAAAUCAGUAAAAAUAAGUCAUCUUGUAUACUCAGUGGACCCGUGGAAUUAAUACUACACAGCUAGUUAAGUUUCUGUCACUUUUUAAAAAAUUUUUGUAGCUCCUUAAUGGACAUGGCAACAUGUAAAACUGGACAAUUACUUUUUGACUUCGUAGGUGUACAUCAUCAUCAUCAUUUAUGUAUCCACUGUAACUCACCAGAAAUAAGUGCUCUUCCUCCUUUAAGAGAACUGUCUUUCCUGUGGAGGCAUUUAUAUAAUGUUGGACUUGGACACGAAUGACAUUGUUUUUAAAAAUAAUGAACUCCUUACCUGGGUGACAUUUAAACCUGCAAGAAAGUUUAACCACCGUCACAAUCUUGAACAAUCUGCUCUCAGCUCCACAUACAUUCUGUCAUCUCAUAGAGAGAGAGAGAAAGAGAGAGAGAGAAAAUCACUUGAAUGCAGGGGCAAAAGAAACCACUCAUCAGGGAAUUCAUUUAACGAUAAAUACUAGGUUUGGUAAUGGCAUUGCAGAUGAAAAUGAUAGUUUGGAUGAAUUACACAGAGGACAAUGGCUGAGGAAAAUGGCUGCUUACAAGAGCGGGGACGAACAAUGACGAAUAGCUGGGUAAUAUUAUCAAAGGAAACUGAGAAAAUCACCAGGAGAAAAAAGAGGUGGAUGAUGAUGGAUGAAUUGAGGUGGAUAAAUACGUGAUGGAGGGUGACACUUCCUCACGCCUGUCCAUUUGCUUUUUCCAAAAGUUUUAAGUGAAGAAAAAAGUGAUUUAAAGAAACAACACUGAGAGUAAAGGUGCCCUGUGAACAUAGAAGCAGACUGUUUGUCCUCAGGUCAAUAAAUCAGACCUUUGGGAGUCACAGGAGGGAGGCACAGUGUGACAACUCAUUCACAUCGUUUCUUCAGUCCUAAGCUUCUCCUAAUGAUUUCUUAUCACACUUAAAUGGAAUAGCUAUUAUAUAUCAGAUAGGGAGCGAAGCCUGGGAGCUUUCUUAUGCUGUGAUUGAACAGUGAUUACAGAUCAAUUUCCUUUUUUUAAUGUUCUUUUUAGUUUUGAUGUCUGUGGUAGCUGAUUUUUUGUCGGUGUUGCUCUUAUAAUGCGGUUAGCAAAGAUAUUGAAGAUUCUGCAGAGUGGUCAGUCUAUCACUGAGACUACAACAACUCAAUAAUUAGCGGUUACUCUUACACUUCAGGGAUUCAAGGUUCCAACUGACUUAAUAGACUUUUCAUCAUGUGCACCAAAGAGGUUGACAUUUGGGGUUCAAGGUAAAUAUCUCUUUUGCAGUCCCAUAUGGCAAAGUAAUCUAAGAAUAAACAUAUAAACAUAUUCUCUAUCUGCAUGUUCAACAUUUAGAUUUAGUAUGUGUUGUAUGUUCUGUAAGGCUUUUAUGUCUUAUCGUAUUGUUUACUCAUGAAAGUGGCCCCUGGUGCAGGGGGCUUCCCAGAGGAUAUACUGGGGGUCCUAAAAAUGGUAAAAGGAUAAAAACAAGUAAAAACUAAAAUAUGAAUAAAACACAGACUAUAAAAUAUUUUCAGUAGGUGAGUAGAUGAAUAAAUAUGAAAUACAAAACCUAGACUUAUUAGUAUAAAUACAAAUAAAAUAAAUAAAUAUUAAUCAAAAGCUAAGCUAACAAGGUAGGUCUUGAGCCUGCUCUUAAAAACAUGAACGUUCUCUGAGGCCCUGAGGUCCUCUGGCAGGCGUUUCCAUAGACGAGGGCCAUUAUACUGGAAAGACGUCUCACCAUGAGCGUGUGUCCUGACUUGAGAAUGACAGGGAACCUGCUGCCAGAGGAGCGCAGGGUCCAAGAAUGUUCAUUAGGUAAAAGCAAUUCUGAAAGAUAAGAAGGCCCACAGCCAUUGAGACAUGAAAACAAGUAAAAGAACCUCAAAAUCGAUGCUAAAGCACAUAAGGAGCCAAUCUAUUUUAUAUAUACACUUUAAAAUUAAGCAAGGACAAGCACCUUGAAGUGUAUGAACGAUUUGGAGAAUUAGGAAUAAAGGUAUUUGAGUGACAAGGUAGUGUAAACUUAAGGUUACUGAGCUGUUCAUGAAUCUGCCAGAGAAGAAAAAAAAGCUUAAUAGCAACCCAAUUUCAGCUAACACCGCAGUAUACAGAGCAUGUGAGAUGUAGCAUGUAAGUGGAUGCUAUUCCACCUUCACAUCCUGUGUCAAGGCCACUGCUAACGCUAUCAAAUCUCCAUGCUCUUGCAAUCGAUUCUUGCAUUUUUCUGCUCAACUUCAUCCAACACUUUUAACCAGGAUGCGUUCAGGUCUGCAGAGUCUAUCGGGGAAGUGUUGUUAUCGAUCUCUCACGACCCCUCCACACUGUUUCACCCAAAUCAUUGCUAUGACAGCCAAAGAUGCUCUCUCAGGACCUGACUCUGGGACUUUUUACUUCCACUGGGCCUCAGGUGUUGUGCUGUAAAACACUCACUAAUCCUGACUUAUUGACUUCUCCGAAAGCACAAGCUCCACAACUCAAUACUUCUGUUAAUGAAGCUGUUGAUCACUUUUAUGCAUACUCAAAUUUGCUGUUGAAGUUAAAAACAUAGUUCAUUACUCAGCCAUAAUAGUCUGUCAAUAUGAAUAUUUAAAUCCUUUAGAGAAAGAUGGACUUUAGAUUUAUUAGCCUUUCAAAUAUGAAUUCAUUAAAUUCCUGAAAUGACCUCUAACACACGGAUGCGGUAGGGACUUUUCACAGCUCAAUAUCCUUUUAAUAUCACACAGUGAGAUUAAUUAUUUGAACUCCUGAGUUUGCAGAAAAGUUUCAGGAUCUAUUUUUAAACUUUAAGAUAAACUAGAAUACUGGAACUUUCAUGAGAAUGAUAAACCUGUGUAAAAGAAACCAUCUUAUCUAGGUUUUAUAGCCCUCCCUAUGCUCAUCAUAUUCAGAUUCAGAUUCAGAAAACUUUAUUGAUCCCAAAAGGGCAAUUCAUUUGCAGCAUUUUAAGAGCACCUCACACAUACAUAAAAUCACUUGUCAGUCCAUUCCAGUCACAGUGGAACCCAGAUCGAACCGUUACAAAUAUAACACACUACUCGAUCAAAAGAUGCCUCCCCUCGAAUUCAAUAAUUUAAUACGAACACCUAAUUUUACAAAGGUGUUCAUAAACCGGUUAGUUCUCCUAGCCGGAUAUCCCCCAAAGGCUGAAAAAGAUGUGAGAAAUAGAAGUGGGAGAGACCACAAAGAUGCACUAGGGUGACCAAGUUGCCUUAAUUUGUAAUUCCUGUAUGUAUGGUGGCUAGGGUCUGUCCAGGGCUUGCAGCAAAAUAGGCAAGCGGUAGAUCUUUGGCAUAAGGUUUGUGCAACAGCUAAACCUCCACAGGGUUACUCCCCCAGUAUUUAUGAGGAGGAAAAGAGAGAAAGAAAAUAGAUAAAACAUAAAGGAGAUUAACAUUUUCUUUAUUUUGGCCCCCAAAUGACAUCCCCGUCUCUCCUCAUCAAGAUCCACUGAACUUCUUUUACCUCCUUGAGUGUCUCUGCUUUUCUAGUUCUCCACAACUGAUUAUUCGAUGAACCCUCUUCAACCUACUUCUGGACAGGCCUGAUUUUCUGGCCUCUCUGUCUAGUUUCUGUUGCCAACUUUGCAUAUCAAAGCUUUGUGCUUUCACAUGUGUCCUCUGCUGAGUCCCUCCAGGGCACUGUCAGUCCUAUGAAAUAAACUUUAUGCUGACUGUUCAACCAUAACACUUUGUCCAGCUUCAAAGUCGUUCAGACUAUGAUCUAUGGAGUAAGUUUUACCCCUAGAUAACCCUCCAUCUCCCAAUCAUUAGCCUCCAGACCAGUUUAAAACAUUUCUCUCACCUCGCAGAUGAUUACUAAUCACACCCUGUAUUCACUCGACAUCUAAGACUUUCAGUUCCUGCCACUUAAACUAAUACAACUACUUAUGUUGCAUUUUAUGUCAACCUUACAACCUGACAGAAUAAGUCGCUGUCUCUGCACAAAAAAUACCCCCCUAGAGAUUACAGUGUUUAAAUGUUCUCCCUUUUGGUCAUCAUGGUCAGCCUUAAACCUGUCUGCAAAUCAGCUUUUACAGAGGGGUCCACUCUGAACUGCUAGCCUCAGUACGGUAAAGUUUUGACAACAGAUUUAUAAGGCCUGUGGCCCUGAGAUGGAAGCUGUGGGCAGCAAAUACUUCUGUAUAAUUUCCCAAACGGCUUUGGAGUGAAAAGACUGAAGUGGGUUUUGUCUUUACAUCAUUUGGGCUUUUUUUUCCAGUAUUCUCACCUGGUUCAUUACACUGAUGCUCAGUAGAUUGUUACAGCUGAUGUUGUUUUAAUUACUAGCUUCAGAGCUUUGCUGUCCUGUGUUGUGCAUAUCUCAUAUCAGUUAAUGAAGUUUCCAUUUAGGAUGUUUUCUUAGUAGAGCUGUCAUUGAAAUUUUCUAAUCAUAAGUUUUGCCAAAGAAGUUUGUUGUUUUUCAGCUUUAAGUAGUGUCUGUUUUUCACAUAUUAAUUUUACUUGGCCACAGAGGAAGCUGCUGAAAUAUUAUUUAAAUAUAUAUAUAUUUUUUUCAUUAAAUGACUGAUGACUAUUUUGUCAUCAGUUGGAGUCUGAAUCAUCAGCUGUAGAUUUAGUGGUGAAAAGUCAAUUUAGCUGGACUACUGUCUACAUAGAUCACACAGAGAAACACUUAACAAACAAGUUAAGCAGAGGCUAAGGUAUGUCACAGAUGGUGUCCUCCUAUACAACUAAUGGGGCUCUUCCACCAAGUGCGAGUAAAAUCAUCUGCUUGCUUAAUUCAUGCAAAUCAAGACACGUGAAUGAAUAGUAUUUACUUGCUUCAUUCAUGCGUCAACAGUAAUUUCAACGGUAACCCUGCCAAUUUAACCGGCGGGAUCAAGUGAUAGACUAAGGAAUUUACUAGGUGAAUUACCUGGUAUCCUCACUCACUUGCCUCCAGGCGAGCUCCUUAUUAUUCCGGUUUCGAUAAUUGAAAGAAAUGGUAUCAUAUAAUUCAGGGCAUCCACACACAGACACGAUCAAUUUGUCCUCCAUUUUAGAUACCAGUGAACAACCAUCUGUUUUCAUACAUCACCCAGCAACCUUAUUGCUGAUUAGUUAUCACCAUGUGAAUCCGCUCAAGCUGAGACAUAUUGAGCUCAUGCCUAAUCUGCGUCAUUCGCACCGCCAGAGUAGUGGGAGCAUCUAAUUGUGUCUUUGCAUUGACUUAACCAGUAAUUCAGUCACGUAAAUGGUUUUACUCACACUUGGUGUGUGGAGACAGUUAGACUUACGGGUCAACAUCCAGCAUGCAAACUUUGGAUCAUGUACAGAAUGCCUUAGCCAGUUCGGGACAAUUGAGGAGUAUACAUGUCAGAGAAAAUGGAUGUUAGUCUCAUUUGGCAUGUUUUUACAUUUAUUCUAAAAGUAAAUAUUUUUUUCAUCUUGUAGUCGUAGUGUUUGUGUGGUCAGGCGCGCAGGUGGUGGUUUGCCAUCUUCAGGAUGCAGAAGGCGACAUUAAUGCAAAAACAGAGAGAGACAAGCAUCUGCACUCCUACUCAAAAGGAAGUGUUUAUUUACAGCCGAGUGCUCCGAGAUGAGUGCAUAAGCGUGUUUCCCUAGUUUCCUUAUCUUACUUUUAGCAUGAGGCCAUUGGCAUUGACAGCGAGCUCACCGUUUGCUCAAUUUAACACACACUCCCUCUGAUUCGCACAGAAACGUACACACAAGUGAAUAAAUGGUUUGCCGAGUUUCCUGAUAAAUCAAGCACACAGCAUCAGUUAAUAUAAGCCUGCCUGAUACUGCCGGCUCAUACGGAGGCUUUAAUAAUUGAUGGUGUGCUGUUGUGUCAUGUGUGUAAAUGUUAACAGUGUCACUCUUAAUCUAAAAAAGUCACUGAUCAAGUACCGGGGGAACAUCGAUCCACCCAUCAGUAUGAGUCGUACGGUGAUCAGAGAGUGUUCUGAGUAUACAGAGUCAAAAUGGCACAACCUCUGGCCCCCUGCUCUUCCACUGUUAGAUUAGGGUUGUAUACAAAGAGCCCUCUUUGUUUUUCAUCAAGGUAAAGCUAAUGGAGGUUGGUGUGUAAAGGAAGAGGCAGGGCUCAUCUCCGGAGAAAUGCUUACAUCUGAAGAUCUGUAUCUGCUUUGUUGUUGAAUUGCAAUUUGUUCUAGUUCAGUGUCCAUGGAAAGUUCAUUUCCCACAGUAUAUAUGUGUCACUCUGACUCAUUUAUAGGCAACACACUUCCUCUAUCACUGUGAAUCCUUGAACUUUAAAGUCCAAACAACACUGGUUGAUUUGUUGUUUUCUUCCUGUGAGUGAGUGUUGUUUGAAGACAUCAAAAUAAAACAGCCUUACUUAUGUUGUUUAGUUCAAACUCGGCUGCUCACACAAUUCCCAAUGGUGCCACUUUGGUUUUGAGUGUUUUAUGUGCAACCUCAAUGACAACAAGCUUUUGGCAGCUCAACUUCUGUUGUGUAAAGUGAAACAGAUGAAAAAAAAAGGUUAAAAAGUUCUUGUGUUACUUUUGGGGAUAAAGUCUCUAAAACAUAUUCUUGAUGAAGAAAGUCACCAGAGCAGAAAACAAAAGAUGACAUCUUACUUCAUGAGUGGUUUGGCUUAAAAGAGAAAGGUCUAAACACAGAUCCCUGGGGUGCUCCAGUUUACAGCAUUGAUGUAGAAUGGGUGUGACCCCCUAUUUGCAAUGCAGAGUGUCUGUUACGGUGAUGGAGAAUAUCCAGCUGACGAGUAUAACACUAAAAAAAGAGAUCUUUGUAUGCCAGCCAGUUUCAUGGAGGAGAAUGUGUGAAAUGUAUGAUUGAAGAUGAUUUUCAAGGCAGGUAUAGCAGCUGAUAUUCCCUCCUUUGUGGGUCUGUAGCUUUCAGUGUAAGCUGAUGAGGAUCCAGGCAUGAUGGAAUGAUGUCUUUGAUGCUGAAAGGUAGUCUUUUUUUUUUUGACCACACAAUGCCAUCUAUUUUUGGCACAAGGAUGAUGACUAACUUGAAGCUUGUGUGACCACUCCUCUGUGACAGGUGUACGCUAAACUCAUCAAUAAUGUCACCAACUGGCUGGUUGGCACAGCCUCUCAGGGAAGUUUCCAGACUUCGCAGUGCUACUCAUGUUCGCUCUCAGAUGUUGCUCUCAUAAACUACUCAUGACAGCCGACUGUCUUCCAAAUGGAUCACAAUGAAAAAAAAUAAUGUAUGGACUUCACCCUGAAGCUUAGCACAUUAUGGUGGAGGGCCUCGGCUUGUCAUGGAUCAACUGCUACAUCUCUUGGCCUUACUUUAUGAGUCAUACUAGCUUCACACUGAAUGCCCAGGCAAAGUUAACGGAGAAGCAAUAAUAGAAAGGAUCAAUUGACUCAGUGUUACAUGUCAGGCAGUGAGCCAGAGACUACACCGUGCCUUAUGUUCCCUCUCUCUCCUGUAAUAGGUGUUGAUGAACUGAUUGCUGCCACUUGUCUGCCUCAAAAUCAGUGAUUAACCUGCACUCAAGGUCAGUAUUAGAGAAAGCCACUCAGACUCCCCUGUCUCUCUGCCAUUCGUGCUUUCAGUCAGCUUUUGUUGCUUGCAUCUUUUGAGUCUCAUGGUUGGGAAGUUGGAUAUACGUAGGUAAAUUGUGGAUCCCUAAUGUUUUAUUCACUCAGGAUUUUAUUUGUGAGACAGGGGUUUGUGUUUUGUGUGUUUAAAUUUAUGGGUUGGGUUCAAAUUUUAAUCAUGUUUUAGGUUCAUUUAGGUUAAAGUUUUCUCUAUUGGUUAACGUCGCACAGAAAAAAAAUCAAAUUAAUCUAGCGUGAUAUCUACUUCUUGAUGGAAAUAUGUCAUAUAUUAAUUAAUCUAAUUUAAAAAUAGAAAAAAAAUUUGCUUGUUUUGUGUGUUGUUGCUAAAAUAAAAGUAGAUGUGGGUUCUCAACUUAAACACUGAUAAUAAGCUCUUGGUUAAAAGAGUUUGACCUUUUUCCUCAGGACCUAAAGUAUAAUGCCACUGAAAGUGAAAGGUUUUGAUGUCAGCAAUAUUAAUGGUUAGCAUCUUUAAAUAUUUCAUCAAAGUAGUUGUCACCUUUAAAAUUCUGCCCUUGUUUAGCAAACGAUAAAGCCAAACUCCCCUGGUGGUCAGCAGAGAAUGUCAGACCAAGAAGCCAAACUUUCUCACAGCCAAUGAGGAGACAGUUCAGAGGGGGAAGGUUUAGGUUUUUCAGGCUGUUUUCACAUUAGCUAUUCUCUGUGUGUUGUCACUAUAAAUACUCCAAGUCCCCGACAUAUUGUGUUGCCUGUUUAAUGAGAGCUGAACCCUCAGUAUUAAAAUCCAAUAUAAAUUCCCAUACAGCUUGCAAAAGUGUUCACAUGAAUCCAGAAUUUUGAUGUAGGUACAGUCCACAGAGUUCAGCACAGCAUGAUGAAGAGAUGCUGAUGAGGAAGAAACAGUAAUUGGUUAGCAGCAUGAGUUGGCUGCAAAGUGUACACUCAGCAGACUAAAGGGAAAGCAGAGAGAAAGUGAGAAACACAAGUCGAAAUAUAAAAGAACUUUAAAGUGCAGCGAAAUUAACGCAACAACAUUAACAACAAAGAUUAUAGGAAUCACUUCAGCCUGCCUGGGAUACAUACUCGGUGAAAGCGGUGAGGCAACAUAGCGCAGGGCUGUUAUGGUGAUCAAUUUUGGCGCCCCCUGUGGACAAAGGGAUGCUUAAUAUUUCUUGUUCUGCACAUGUGGAAGUUGUGUUUUCUGCCAUAAACUUUACCCUGUUGUCUGUGAGUAAUUGACAUAAAAGGAGGUGAAACAAAAGUUGUUUAUAACCUGCACUCAAUCAUCUGGCCUGACACUCCUUGUUGCUGAUGGUAGUGCUUGCAUUGGAAGGCUAGUCCCUUUCCCAAACAGUUAAAAACUCCUUAUAGUGUCUUUAACAAUAACUAGGAUGGUGCAUGUUUACCAGCAGCCUUUUUUUCUAUUAGAAAGAAGAGAUGCUGUCAAGCUUUAAAAAUAUCAUUGACAACAAAAGCUGGCGUUUCUCGUGUUUGUUUACAACAACAUUCAUAAACCAUGAUUUAUUAUACUCUGUGAAAAAGCCAGCGGUGCAUUAGAGUGAGAGGCGGAAUGAGUCGAGGGGUGCAUUGUUGAUUUUGUCACUCUGCUUUUGUUAACUUUGUCUACUAUAUGUGCACUUCAGGCACAAACUGUCAUUGCCUCGAUGUGUCCUCCUUGUUGUCUUUCCUUGAUGCCUAUCAGUGACAAAACCACAGCUGAAUGACUCUAUAUCAUUUCAUAUAUAAUUAAUGAUGUAGUAAAGAUUGUGAUAAACUGACAGCCCCCCUCCGGUCACAGCAGGUACAGUAAGAGACUGACGUAAAAGUGCAUGAAAACUCGUAUAUAUGUUCAAAGAAUGAUUGUUUAGUUUUCAGAGUUGAAGUAAGGGUAAGUAUUGGGGUGCAUGGUAUUAUCAGGACACUCUUGGUAUUUGCAGGUAGAAUUUUAAGAAAUAAAUCAGCAGUUUUUAAGAUUUCUCUACAUGGGUAUGGUCGCUACAGUGACGCAUCCUCACCUAAUGACAGUAUUCACUCACCAACAAUGUGUUCCGACAUUUUGGCUGUAUGUAAGUAUGUUUUAGGUGGCGGCAAAAGGGGUAUUUGCAAUAGUUCAGAAGCUACAACAAAACUCGUUCAACAUUUCUAAUGUAAUUGUGCAUCUAAAGCACCAUCAUGCCGAAAGGAAAUUUGUCAUUACUAGUUAAAUGAAAAGUUGUUUGUCUUGUUUCUGUCUGUUUCAAAAACAAGUAGACGCUCAUAAAAGGAGUUAUAGAUCAAUUCUUGCACUGGAGAGACUUGGUGUUCUUUACAAUGACAAAAGAGGAGUUCAUAUCAGUAUCUAUAUCAGCAUAUCAGAUAUCUUCAAAAUCCAAUAUCCUGUAUCUCUAUUUUAAUUGCAAGUUAAGCCCUUUUUAUUGCCUUAGUAGCUCAGCAGCAUUGCAUCACAGGAGGAUCUAGGUUGCAUUAUUUAACUAUGGGACUAUAUUAUUUACAUUUUUAAUCUUUAACUUAACUUUGUAAAGAUGACUACUUUUAAACAACUGCGAAUCUAAAUAUUACAUCAAACUAAUGAGAAAGUCCAUCUUUAUUAGUAGCAUUAAAGAUGGGUGCUCAAUGCCAUGAAGAUGUCCUGUGACAAAAAACAGAAACUGCAAACAUACUUAAAAAAAAUCCUGGAUUACAACACGAACAUGUUAACACACAGCUCAUAAAGUAAACACACUGUGUAACUUUCACUGGUGAAAAAUCAACCAUAUGAGACAGAGGAGUAGAUGUCCCUGAUAUCAGUGAGAUGACAGUUAGAGUUAUUCAAAAAGAUAGCUGCAAUGGAUCUUCAUACUCUAAAAUCUUUGUGAUGGACGACCCUUUCAUCUUUGCAUCUGCAGAGAGGAACACUGACAAAGUUUUUCAAAGCCUCCCAGAUUUUAUGUUUUAAGUAUUUUGCAAAAAGUCUGACCAUUCAAAAUAAUGUCUUAGCAUGUAAAAAAGAGCAGCUGUUCAGAGCCCAUAACAUGAGUGACCAAUUCAGGCAUUGAGGGAGCUUACAGUCAGAGUAGUUAAGUAAAGAGUUGAUCUAUUUGAAAUAAGCUGGAGGUUCAUUGCUCUACAAGAAUGAAAAAUUGACACUAAAUUACAAAGUACUUUUAACUUGAGAAAAAAAAGUAAGUUUUAACCUUUUAUUUAUUUAUUUUCCAAGUGAAGAUUGAAUAAAAUAAAGAAAAACACUUGUCAAAAAGAAAGUUUGAAAUGUUGAGUCAGGGAUCAAUCCUUAGAUUUAUUGACAGCAACCUAACCACUUGUGCGCACCUUUCUACCUGAUCACCCAGCUGUGAUUAAUACUUGAUUCUGAUUGGUCAACACCCCUUGGCAACCGUUAUUUAGUUUCAUAACAAAGGCAGUGUGGGGGCAGUCUGUUCACCUUUCACACAUAUUGAAUCAAUCCAAGGAAAUGAGCCAUAGCUUUUACCUCCCCUUGUUGGUGGUGUAACAAACAUGUUCCUGUCCAAUAACACUUGUAGACAACACAAAGAGAGCACAAAGCUUUAGACUGGUGAUUAAUGACUGACCAGUCAUGACUGACCAGUCACUGAAAAAUUUAUCUAAAAAGCAAAGAUAUUAUAUCACCUAGGGUUAAUACAACUGGCUGAGUGAGAAAUAAACAGACAGAAACAUAAUGAGGAAGGGGAUACUAAAACAUGUAGGCUAAGAACCAAAAAAAGGCUCACGUUUGGACAUUAAUGAAUAUAAUAUACAGUAUAUAGUACAUAUAUAUAAAUUUAUGUCCACAUAAGAAAUUAUUUAAAAAAUUACUUUGAUAAUUAAAAACUACUGGAUUAACUGAUGCAUGCCUGACCCUGUAUUUCAUACUUCUAUUCUGUAUCAUGCACCAGUCCUGGAUGUCCAUACUAACCCUCUGCAAAGAUUCAAAGUAAGAGAUACAGGUAUUGGUGUAAUCCCCUUUUCCAACUUCUUUGAACAGCUCUUUUAUUGAACUUUGCCAUACUAGGCCUGAACCUGAUGUCUGGCUCUGCCAACCUAUUUAGGCAAUGCAGAAGUUCACACCCACCCGUCAGCUCCAAUAUACUUCUUUCAGAGACAUGCUCACCCUGUGACAUUAUCGGUCAGCGACAACCUUCAUUGCCACAGCUUGGCUUAUUCUUCCAGCUCUUUGUUGAUUUAGGACAUCUCAGAAAGUUGUUUGAAAGUGUUCUUUUAGUUGAAGAAAUGUCACAGAUGUUCUAGAUGGAAAAGAGCAAGGCACCAGAAAAUAGAGAGAUUUUUUGUUUGGGGACAACAGCCUCAAGGUAGCUCUUUAUGCUUAAAACAUCACUGGUGAUGCCUUUGCAGACAAUAGCCAGGAUAGAGUGGAUUUGCAUAUCAAGUGUAACUGAAACCUGAGGCUAACCUCCUAUUCAGGUUAAGAACCACAAGCAGUAAGGCCCUGUCUGCACGAAAACAAAUUCAGGUGUUUCAUACACACAGAAAAGGUGUUUCAGGUGACUGUAGAUCACACAUUUUGAAAGUGGGUCCAGAGCACACAAGUCCUUAUACACAACUACCGUUUCGUUUCCACGUGGAUGCCUAUCCACAACUUUCUUGAAACAAUUAUGUUACACACAGGGUAUCUUAAGACCUUGGGCGAGUCCAUCACCGACUGCAGCGUGGUGACGCAGCUCAAGGAAGAAUAUUUAUGAUCAUGUCCUCAUGGAAAUGCAAUCAGACCGAGACGCUAAUGCUGAAGAACUACCAUGUCUGCAGUACAAAAUGAUUAAUAUGGUGAUUAUUACUUCAAGGAAAUGAUAAAGUAAUGAUCAUAAAUGUUCUUCCUUGAGCUGUGUCACCCCGCUGCAGUCGGUGAUGGACUCGUCCAAGAUCUCCCUACAAACAAGCGGCUGCUGGAAGAGAGUAGGUGAGUUGUGUUUAGUCUCUUUGCUAAAGAAAUUAGGCAACGUAAAAAGAUGUUUGGUGGCUAGUUAUAUGGCUGGGACCCUAUAUGUACUGUUGAUGAAGUUAGGUGCUGUUCUGAGCAUUAUUUGUGGCUAUAGAGUUGCGUUUUGGUUUUGGCGUGUGGCUCCUGGGACUGCUGUGUAUUGCUAUCGUGCUGUCAUUACUAAAGUUGGUAUAACUAGAGAAGCAAGCGCUUGGCAACAUUAAUCUCCUGAAGGGCUGUCUAACUUGGUGGUGCUGUGUUUGACCCUAACUUAAUUUUAUAAUAACUUAAUAAUAUCCCUUUAACACUUGUACUCUGACCAGUAAAACUUAGUAAAAGCUCUGCAAUAAACUUACCAGACUGAGUAUUUGUGUUCAACCAUGUAUUGAUGCAGACCAGACAGAUUCUUCUCUGGCAGAGACUCUUGAGUCCUAAGAUUAAUCAAACCCUGUCUGUUUUACAAAAAAGUGUCUCACUCUGCAGCAGCUGAUCUCAUGGUCCAUCAUCAGAAAAAUGAGUUGUCCUAAUUCAUGAAAGCUAAUUUAUCAUUAUCUGUCCUAACAUCGGCAUAUCAACAUCUGUCUUAAAGAAAUGGCAAGGUUUUUGUCUUUUUUCCCUAAGUGCUUGUUCUGUCAAGUUGUUUGGGUGACGGCUUUGAUGCUCAAAGCUUUUUGGAAGAAAAAAAUGCCAUCAAUCCCCCUCAUUGUUUGCACACAAUCUGUCAUUCCCAUCCUUCCAUCCAUGUGCACAAACCCUGCUGCAGAACGAUUAUGUCUAUUGACCAGGACAGAUGGGUCAUGAACGUCUGAGUUCAGACAUUCUGAAUGCCAGCGCACAAGCGCAACACAAUGGAACCGAAUACGAUACGGCUUCAGUGUGUGUUCAGAUGUGACACUGCCAUCUGCCAUCAUCAUCGCAAAUGCUUUAUGAAAAAUAAGAAAACUCAAGUUUUAAGCAGAAACAUAAACCCAAAGUUUGUCAGGAGUCUGGACUGCAGGGUUUCUGUCCCUUUGUGCAGCUGACUUUUUCUAUUUUAUAUUAACAUUGACAACAGAAAGAACAGCACCGCAGGGUCAACUUUCAGCAGAUAAAAAAGACGUGUGAGGAUGUUACAUAGAGUGGGUUUCAGGUCAAAGGUCAGUAAUCAGACAAGUCUGAUGCAUGCUGUAUGAAGAGUCAAAGAAUUUAUUAAGUCGACUGUUGUGAAAAAUUACAAACCCCAAUUUCAGUGAAGUUGGAACGAAAUGAAUAAAAACAGAACACACUGAUUUGCAAAUCGUUCUCAACCUUAAUCAAAUUGAAUCGACUACAGAGACAAGAUAUUUAUGUUCAAACUGAUUAACUUUAUUGUUUUUUGCAAAUAUUCACUCAUUUUAAACUUGAUGUCUGCAACACAUCCCUAAAAAGUUGGGUCAGGGUCAUGUUUAUGGCUGUGUUACAUCACUUUUUCUUUGAACAACGCUCAAUAUGCAUUUGUGAACUGGGUUUUGGAGGUGAGAUUCUUUCUCUUUCUUGCUAGAUGUACAUCUUUAAAUUGUUCAACAGUUCAUGGUCUCUGUUGUCGUAACACACACAGAAUGUGGGUCGGCAUUGUCUUGGUGAAAUAAACAAGGAUGUCCCUGAAACAGACGUGGCUUGGAUGGCAGCAUAUUGUACGUUUCUUCAAAACCUGUCUGUAAUAAAAGAAAAAGAAAAAGAAAAGAAAAGAAAACAACAUUACCCUCCCAUAAGAGAAAGCUGCUAUGGCGUACCCUGUGAAACACAUUGAUAUUGUUAUUAUUUUUUAAUGGGUAAUGCUUAAACACAUUAAGAAGUAUACAGAGGAGCGUUUAUGAAAUGUCCGGUACAGUUAUUACUCACUGAUGUCCAGUAAUCCCAUGUUCAUGAUGAUGUCAGUUUUAAUGUGUCAGUUUUAAGAGCUCAAAGGUCAUGGGUAUUCACUGUUGGUUUCCAGCCUUGCUGCUUACAUGCAGAAACUUCUCUGGAUUUAAUGCGUCAUCACUGACAGUCCUAAAAUCUAUACUAAUGAUAAAUCAAACGGCUACUUGUAAUGUGUAACGGCUUUCUGCACCACCAACCUGCACAAAGGUAUUCUGACAAUUCUACUUCUUUUAUUCAUGAUUGUCAGCAGAAAAGUCAGUAGUGCUGCAACGCUUUAUCGAUUUGCUGUGCGUUUUAACUGCAGUUUUAUUUUCUCAUCCAUAACAAAAUAUCUGUUUUGACUAAGGUGAUUGAUCAGGGCAUUAGAGAGGCUCAGACUAAAUCCAACCAAACACCUCUGUCCACCAGCCGUUCUACUGCCACUGUUGUAGGCCAUACUUAUCUUUUCUAUAUGCGAUAUAAUAAAACUGACCAUCACAGUUUCAAAUCAGUGAACAGCAUCUUGACAUAAAUGAUGCAACACAACAAGCAGCGGUUGUAGAGAUGGUAGGUGUAAGCAUUAGUGAGCUAUUCCAGCUAUUUGUCUUGAUUCAUAUCAUUAAAGGUCUCCUAUCACGGCAUUUUUCACCAAGUUUAAAUCGGUCCCAGAGGUCCCACAGCAGUUAGCCAACCUGUACCCCCCGCCUUUUGAGCUCCACUGAGAACAGACUGAUUCUGCGCCUGUACCUUUAAAUGAUAAUGUACUGUGUGUAACUGUAACUGUCUAGAGGACCUCCAGACCACCGCUGCUGGAAGUACCAGCCUGCCUCCGCGCCCCCAAGGAACACCCGUUGCUCAGGAAUAAAAGUAAAUAGAAGCGACUCUGAAAACGAAUACCAACGAUGGUAAACACACGUGAUUGUCAGGCAUAGCACUCAUCAUACAGGCGGCGGUAGACCAACAUAAAAUGGCCCCUGACACAGACAGUCAGUACGGAUUCAGGUUGUAUCUUCAGCUUCUUAGCGAAUCCUGCUUUGAUCUGCCACUGUAAGACAGUCCGUGGUGAAAUGGUUAGUACACACAAACAACAUUUCAGAGUUGUUGUGGGUACAUUUCCAUAACAAAUAAAAUCAAUCCGCUGGGUCCUCAAAUCUUCCGACAAAGGAGGCAGAAAUAGACUCCUGUCUUCGUUUGUGCAGCCAAGAACCACGCAGCGGCUGGGUCGUAGCUUUGACAUGGUUGCUGUACCGGAGCAACCAGCAUAUGUGAGGGGAAAAAAUGGCAGACGCUACCUCAGUAAAGAAGUUUUAGAGGGAUGGGGUAACGAUUAUCAGGGGCGCUGGCAACAACAUGUAGGAGAGGCUUAUGCGGUCAUGUUGUCAUAGCGGUUAUGUCAUCAUAACUGCUUAACCCUUAUAACCGCGUAAGUCAUAACCACAUAAGCCUUUCCAUCCACCCAUUUGCGCUCAUGUUUUCAGAGAGGAGGGGAAAGCAAGAGAGGGAGAGAAUGAAAGUUUUUCAUGUAGAGGAGGGUUGUCGGCUUUGAGGGGGAUGCAUAUUAUUGGUAGAAAACCACCAAAAAGUGGAUUUUUCAUAAUAGAGGACUUUUAAUAUCCAAACUUUAGCUUUCGCAGAAUCUGAUUAAUAAAGAGUGGCUUUUUGUUCCUUUUACAUUCUUUUAUGGACAAAGGUCAUUUCCUGCUCUUUAAGCUGAGUUUCCUGAAGGACAUUAGAUCCAGUCACACCUUGUGAUUUUGAGUGUUUUGUAACCUCUAUUCAGGGUCUCAGUUGACUUACAUAGUAGUCCAUUUUACAGCUGUUCCAUUAUGCAUGUCUUGACACCAACAGGGACUCAUAUUUCCAAACAAGCGCUGACCUUUUCACCAAAACAGAGUGAAGAGGCAUCAGAGAGUAGGCUGUUUGCAUUAGAUUAGACCAGAGUUAUCUAACCAAACACCAACAUUUGGUGCCUUUGACCAUGAUUUGAACAAUUUUGGCAUUUAUUCAGCUCUUUGCUGUCUUAAGUUGUUAAAAGAAAAAGAUAUGUGAGUACGAACCGUAAGAAUGAUCAUUUUCAUCAUUUUGAUAAGAGCAGGAUGUUAACUGAUUUAUUUUAGAACUUUUGCUGAAUGCCACAUUGAGAUAACUUUCAACUAAAUCAGAUAGAGAGCACUUCACAUAGACAAUGAUGAUGAAUGAAGAAAUGUGACUGAUCAGCCGCAUGAUAUGAUCCUGUGAUCAAAAAAUGAUCAAAGUUUGGUAGUGGAGCUGAGUUUCACCUGAAUCACAAUCUACCUGACUGUAAAGCUGCAGCACCUGAAGAAUCAAAGGAUUUUAUGACGGUCCAAACUAUAAAAAUGCGACGCAAGUUCAACUUUUAAAUAUGAAUACUGUAGCUGAAUAUUUAAUUUCAUGGUUUUGAGUCACAUGCUAUACUAGGUAGCUAGUAGGGGUCAUAUCUAUUUCAUUUCACAGUUUUGUCAGAUAGAUCUAAUUCUAAUUGGUCAAUACAACAGUCUUCAACAAGGGCAGACAAUCUACAACAGCUUGAAUAAUCUCCAUUGGGAGGAAUGUUCUGCAAGUUUAAAAACACAUGCAAAGGCAAAUACAACUCAAGCACACAAACACACUGCAGAAGAAUAAGACAUGCUGGAAAAAGCAGAAACAACCCCUGGUACAUAUAGGAAAUAUUGCUUUAUUAAGUAGGUAAGUUGCUGAAAGUGAAAUGGAUGAAAAGUGCAGUUUAAUGAGGGAUAGCAUGACAGGCAUGAUGCACAGUUGUGGUUUCACCAUUGGCCAAGUGAAGACCUCAAAAAACAUUUUCCUGACUUUUUCUCUUGCAACGUUGGGUCAUUGUGACCUAGAAAAAAAUAUUCAUCCCUUUAUCACAAAUUCAUGACUUUUGAUUUUUCUCCCUCAGCUCUGUCUCUUUUCUCUUUUUUUUAAUGGUCCUGAAAAGCUAAUAUAAUUUGCACUUAUGCACAAUAUAUAAACAUCAAGAAGUACUUCAGGUUUGAUUGCUACAGCUUUAAAACCGAGACAACUCAUGAGCUCAUAUUUGAUUUUGUUGCCAAGCUACAAAUUACACAGAGUUUUUGCCAGUUUUUACACCAAUAAUCAUCCCAGUACUUGCAGGUAAGGUGAUCCAGGGACUGUGUAGUAAAGCUUCACGCAAUUUUCUUUAUGUUUGGUCAACUGUCAGUCCUCCACCCCUUGGGAGAUAAAUAGGGAUAUAUGUGAGUGGAUGUAGCUCUAUUUACAUAUAGUACUCUAACUGAACUACCAAGCAAUAAAAGCCCUUUUGAAAUUUAUGUCCUGUUUACCUUUUAACACACACACGCACACACGAACACACAAGCAUACACUUUAUAGAGCCACACAAGACCUUUUAUAAAAUUUUUAUUUGCACUAUAAAAGGCUGCCUUCAAGAGCAAUUUGAGGUUUAGUAUCUUACCCAAUGACACUCAGACGUGGACUGGAGAAGCUGCAUCGACCUGUGCCGCCAUCUAAACACACAGUACAUGUGAGCUGCAGCAGCUUUUUUGUUUGUUUCACAUUAAUGGUUUAUAUUGCUCAUGAACAUUUCUCAUUUUGUCAUAACCCUUUUUGAUAUCAUCAACUGAGAAAUUUUUUAUACAGCAGGUAAAAUAAGUAUUGAACACAUCGCUAUUCUCCUUAGUAAAUAAAUUUCUAAAGGUGCUAUUGACAGGAAAUUUUCACCAGGUGUCGAUAAUAACCCAUGCAAGCAACACAUGUAAAGAAAUCAAACCUUAGACGUCCUUAAGGUCAGGUUAUUGGCUGGACCAUUCUAGCAGCUUUAUUUUCUUUCUCUGAAAUCAUGUCAGAGUUUCCUUGGCUGUGUGCUCUGGGUCAUUGUCCACCCUCGUUUCAUCUUCAUCAUCCUUUAUGAAGAAUGUCUCAGUAGAUUUUUCCAUUCAUCCUUCCUUCAAGUAUAUGAAGUUUGCCAAAGCCGUACACUAAAAAACAGCCUGACACCACAACAUUCCCACCUCCAAACAUCAAUGUUGGUAUUUAAGGUGACAUGCAGUGCCAUCUGACCUCCAAACAUGGUGUAUAUUUAUGGCAUCCAAAGAGUUCAAUUUUGGUCUCAUCUGACUACUAGACUAUAUUCUCCCAGUAUAAUUACUGAUGGAUUUUAACAGGUGUCUCAGCUUUACAUGCCUUUUUACACCUCAGUUUCUUCAUGUGUUCAAACCUUUCCUUUUUUUUUUUUUUACACAUAACUGAAAUGAUGGCUGUCUAAGACUUCAUUUCUUUGCAUGUGUAGGUUGCAUGGAUUAUUACCCACAUCUGGUGAAAAUUUCAUGUCAACAGUACCAUUAGAAGUAUAUUUACAGAGAAAAACUGUGACGUGUUCAGUGCUUACUCUACCCGCUGUAUGUGUGUAGUGGCACCUGAACUUUCUUCUCCUUCUCAUCUAAUACCAUAGCAUUGGUCAGUUUGUACACAUGAAAUGACAAAAAACUGAACCCGACCUAUCCUGGUUAUUAAGGGUUUUACCAAUCAUCUAAUGUGUGUUAAAGGGAAACCAGGAUGUCAAACCUUUAUCAUAGCAUCCAGCUAGUAUAAACAAGCAUAAGACUCCUGCUGGAAACAAAGGCCGACUGUCUAUCCCAUGAUCUCUACUGAGAUUAUGGACUGUAAAAAAGCACUAAAGCUGCCAGCCUUAUUUCUACUUACUUCUUCCAACUUCUCUCACAUAUAUCUUAGGCCAUCUGGGAAAUCCGACCCCUUCAACCUGCACCAUUUCAUCGUCACACCUAGAUUCCUGGACAAUUGCAGAGCCCCAUCAUCCCAUCAUAUCUGAGGUAUGCCUUGUGAGACAGUUCCCGCACAUGUAGGUCUGAGACUGUAGUUCAGAGUCAGUAAUACAUCCCAGAUCUCAAUUUCAGCCAUCUGGAGACUCAUCAUCAGCUGACUUCUUGUGGAAUUUUUCCAUGUCAAAAACAAAAAGAAGAGAGACAGCUGUAUCUGUGUAGAAGUAAUAACUCGAUAAGAGCCUCCUGUGAUCAUGGGAUGUAUAUGUGUGAACUGCAGAGUGUUUGUUUGUCCUGAGUGUCAGCUGAAUAAGUAGACACAGUGAGAUAUUAAAUCUCUACCUUGUUCCCCACACAGCAUACUUUAAAAAGAAAAAGUUACAAGAUGUGUUUGCAUAUGUGUCUGUUCUAAUUCGGAUUUUAUCUCUUUGUGUUAACUCUGUGUAAGGUUCCUACACACUUUUUGAGAUCAUAUUUAUGACUUCUCGGGACCUUUUUAAGACACCAAAUUAGAAAAAUUUUACACUAUUUUUGUGUAGCAGAGAAAGGACACUUUACACAAGUAAAUCAGAUCAAAACUUGUGUUAAUAUCAAAUCCUAAAAACUACAUCUCCUAAUUAUUAAAGAUUUUUUCAACAUACUUUCAAGUCACCUAAAAUUUUUAAUUCCCCCUUACAACCAUAAAGCUGGAAAAAAAAUGUUAAGGACUAGAAUUUCCAACAUAUAAGACAUGUUACAGAGGAAAAUCAUGUUACUAUAAAGAAUGACACUCUAGAUAUAUUUACAGUAGCUUGUUAAUUUGUUAUAAUAUAUCAAAAAGGUGUAAUUUAGUAGUUGGUCAUAACAUGAUUUCCAUCAGCUGCUCUGUGAAGCUGAUGUUGCUGUGUUUUAUCACCUGCUGAGUCGGCUUGUGUUCCUCUGUCAUGAAGUGUUUCAUUGCAGUGCAGUCUGUGGUUAUAGCUCUAUCUGCAGAUGAUCAUGACUCAUGACAAAUGCACAUUCUCCUGUACUUUACUUGCCAAAUAUAAAUACAGCUGGCUCAGCAGGGUAGUAAACGAAACAUCGAUAAACUGUUUGGAUCAGUAAUACGUCAACCCAGAGAUGACCCGAUGGUCACAAACUGUAAGGGCUCAUGUCGCCACCUACUGAGCUACAACUGUAGCUCAACUUGACUGUGCAUGUAAACAUACUGAUGGACUAGAGUGAAAGUUGUCAACGAUAACGAGGUCUUCUCUAUCUGUGAUUGCUUAUGUUAAAAUCAAAUUAUAAUAGUAUCAUUUUUGCUGGUCGCUGACUAUAUUAGCUCUUUGUUUUGGUCUGAUGACCAAUCAGAGGCUGUAUGUGCAAUCAGCUGAUCUGUAGAGGACCAUCAGAAACAAGGCUUUCUGUGUCUCAGUAGAGCAGUUGAGGUAAUGAAACUUGUGAUAAAUUAGUUGUUUUUCAUACUACAAUUGUGUAUGGGCCUCAUUUUUUAUGUAUUCUCUUCACACAGAAUCCUCUGGAACUGAUAAAGGGAAGUGAUUAAGCACUGCAUUGAUAAGAUAAAUCGCAAAUGGCUUUGGCAUCAAUCAAAUCUUAUCAGUUCCCAUCUUAUUAGCUCACUUUGCUGCUCCAUACUUGGCUCUGAAAAUGCAGCAUGAGCACAGGCGAAAGAACCACAGUCUGGCAUUAGUCAUCACCAGCGUAUAAUAUCUGGCUGUUUAACUGCUAAAUGCUCUGUAUCACCAGGUGGCUGCUCUGAGUAUCCGUCUGCUCUUUUCUCUUUCA
Molecule: long non-coding RNA, 37328 nt
Filed under: Xyrichtys novacula (pearly razorfish)
Lineage: Eukaryota; Metazoa; Chordata; Actinopteri; Labriformes; Labridae
Source: RNAcentral